This 489-nucleotide ribosomal RNA is filed under the name uncultured Sphingobacteriales bacterium. RNAcentral's name for it is "bacterial SSU rRNA". It matches the Rfam family "Bacterial small subunit ribosomal RNA", at positions 891 to 1382 of the family's 1533-position model. The record is from RNAcentral. Lineage: Bacteria; Pseudomonadati; Bacteroidota; Sphingobacteriia; Sphingobacteriales.
GCUCAGAAACUUAAAGGAAUUGACGGGGCCCGCACAAGCGGAGGAGCAUGUGGUUUAAUUCGAUGAUACGCGAGGAACCUUACCUGGGCUCGAACGUAAGAUGACUGUAGGUGAAAGCUUACAUCUCUUCGGAGCAUUUUACGAGGUGCUGCAUGGUUGUCGUCAGCUCGUGCCGUGAGGUGUCGGGUUAAGUCCCAUAACGAGCGCAACCCUACCUUUAGUUGCCAUCAGGUAAUGCUGGGGACUCUAAAGGAACUGCCUACGCAAGUAGUGAGGAAGGCGGGGAUGACGUCAAAUCAGCACGGCCCUUACGUCCAGGGCUACACACGUGCUACAAUGGCCGAUACAGAGGGCAGCUACCUGGUGACAGGAUGCAAAUCUCCAAAGUCGGUCUCAGUUCGGAUCGGAGUCUGCAACCCGACUCCGUGAAGUUGGAUUCGCUAGUAAUCGCGCAUCAGCCAUGGCGCGGUGAAUACGUUCCCGGGCCUU